This 495-nucleotide ribosomal RNA is filed under the name uncultured bacterium. RNAcentral describes it as "partial 16S ribosomal RNA". It matches the Rfam family "Bacterial small subunit ribosomal RNA", at positions 30 to 507 of the family's 1533-position model. The record is from RNAcentral.
CGACCGCUGGCGGCGUGCCUAAUACAUGCAAGUUGAGCGCUGAAGGUUGGUACUUGUCCCGACUGGAUGAGCCGCGAACGGGUGAGUAACGCGUGGGGAAUCUGCCUUUGAGCGGGGGACAACAUUUGGAAACGAAUGCUAAUACCGCAUAAAAACUUUAAACACAAGUUUUAAGUUUGAAAGAUGCAAUUGCAUCACUCAAAGAUGAUCCCGCGUUGUAUUAGCUAGUUGGUGAGGUAAAGGCUCACCAAGGCGAUGAUACAUAGCCGACCUGAGAGGGUGAUCGGCCACAUUGGGACUGAGACACGGCCCAAACUCCUACGGGAGGCAGCAGUAGGGAAUCUUCGGCAAUGGACGAAAGUCUGACCGAGCAACGCCGCGUGAGUGAAGAAGGUUUUCGGAUCGUAAAACUCUGUUGGUAGAGAAGAACGUUGGUGAGAGUGGAAAGCUCAUCAAGUGACGGUAACUACCCAGAAAGGGACGGCUAACUACGUG